GGUUGAUCCUGCCAGUAGUCAUAUGCUUGUUUCAAAGAUUAAGCCAUGCAUGUCUAAGUAUAAACAUCUUUAUACAGUAAAACUGCGUACAGCUCAUUAUAUCAGUAAUUCUUUCUUUGAUGGUUCCUUUACUACAUGGAUAACCGUAGUAAUUCUAGAGCUAAUACAUGCCUAAAAUCUCGACUCGCGAGAGGAGAGAUGGAUUUAUUAGAUACCGAACCGAUACAGUCCUCACGGGUUGUUCUAUUGGUGAUUCAUGAUAACUUUACGGAGCGCAUGACUUUAUGUUG
RNAcentral lists this ribosomal RNA (290 nucleotides) under uncultured eukaryote. Its description in RNAcentral is "partial 18S ribosomal RNA". It matches the Rfam family "Eukaryotic small subunit ribosomal RNA", at positions 6 to 286 of the family's 1831-position model. The record is from RNAcentral.